UACGUAGGGUCCGAGCGUUGUCCGGAAUUAUUGGGCGUAAAGGGCUCGUAGGCGGUUCGUCACGUCGGGAGUGAAAACUCGGGGCUUAACUCCGAAACUGCAUUCGAUACUGCGGUGCUUGAGGACUGGAGAGGAGACUGGAAUUCAUGGUGUAGCAGUGAAAUGCGUAGAGAUCAUGAGGAAGACCAGUGGCGAAGGCGGGUCUCUGGACAGUUCCUGACACUGAGGCACGAAGGCCAGGGGAGCAAACGGG
RNAcentral lists this ribosomal RNA (253 nucleotides) under uncultured bacterium. Its description in RNAcentral is "partial 16S ribosomal RNA". It matches the Rfam family "Bacterial small subunit ribosomal RNA", at positions 524 to 776 of the family's 1533-position model. The record is from RNAcentral.